This 317-nucleotide ribosomal RNA is filed under the name uncultured bacterium. Its description in RNAcentral is "bacterial SSU rRNA". It matches the Rfam family "Bacterial small subunit ribosomal RNA", at positions 197 to 507 of the family's 1533-position model. The record is from RNAcentral.
GGUAGAAGUGGUUUCGGCUAUCACUUUAGGAUGGACCCGCGGUGCAUUAGUUAGUUGGUGAGGUAAAGGCUCACCAAGACCGUGAUGCAUAGCCGACCUGAGAGGGUAAUCGGCCACACUGGGACUGAGACACGGCCCAGACUCCUACGGAGGCAGCAGUAGGGAAUCUUCCACAAUGGACGAAAGUCUGAUGGAGCAACGCCGCGUGAGUGAAGAAGGUUUCGGAUCGUAAACUCUGUUGUUGGAGAAGAAUGUAUCUGAUAGUAACUGAUCAGGUAGUGACGGUAUCCAACCAGAAAGCCACGGCUAACUACGUG